GACGAACGCUGGCGGCGUGCUUAACACAUGCAAGUCGAACGGAAAGGCCCCUUUGGGGGUACUCGCGUGGCGAACGGGUGAGUAACACGUGAGUAACCUGCCCUUGCCUUCGGGUUAACUACAGGAAACUGGGGCUAAUACCGGAUAGGAAUCCUUGCUGCAUGCUGGGGGUUGGAAAGCUUCGGCGGGUUUGGGUGGACUCGCGGCUUAUCAGCUUGGUGGUGGGGGAGUGGCUUGCCAAGGCUUUGACGGGUAGCCGGCCUGGGAGGGCGACCGGCCACCAUGGGGCUGGAGUACGGCCCAGGAUCCUACGGGAGGGAGCAGUGGGGAAUAUUGCACAAUGGGCGGGAGGCUGAUGCAGCAAAGGCGCGUGGCGGAAGACCGCCCUCGGGUUGGAAACCGCUUUCAGCAGGGGACAAGCUGGUGGUGACGGUACCUGCAGAAGAAGCACCGGCUAACUACGUG
RNAcentral lists this ribosomal RNA (465 nucleotides) under uncultured bacterium. Its description in RNAcentral is "partial 16S ribosomal RNA". It matches the Rfam family "Bacterial small subunit ribosomal RNA", at positions 28 to 507 of the family's 1533-position model. The record is from RNAcentral.